GGCUAUGGCCACAUCACUCUGAACAAGCCCGACCCUGUCUGAUCUCGGAAGCUAAGCAGGGUCGGGCCUGGUUAGUACUUGGUUGGGAGACCACCUAGGAAGACCAGGGGCUAUAGGCG
RNAcentral lists this ribosomal RNA (119 nucleotides) under Pteropus alecto (black flying fox). Lineage: Eukaryota; Metazoa; Chordata; Mammalia; Chiroptera; Pteropodidae. The record is from RNAcentral.